RNAcentral lists this long non-coding RNA (272 nucleotides) under Carica papaya (papaya). RNAcentral describes it as "long non-coding RNA (CPAP_LNC003385)". Lineage: Eukaryota; Viridiplantae; Streptophyta; Magnoliopsida; Brassicales; Caricaceae. The record is from RNAcentral.
CUUUUCUUGUUUCCUCCAUGCUUCAAGAACUAGGUUGACUGGAUCGGGAUCACCCUCCUAUUUUAUUUGAUUUGGAAAAACAACAUUAAAUAACAGGAUGAGCAUAAAUCACUCAGUAAGCCUAGAUCAGCACCUCAAGCAAUUAGAAUCUACAUUACAGUGCAGUAAUUCAUUCACCCUGGUGGGUGUUUUCCUCAACUCAAAUCACUUACCUAUAACUUCGUCUUACCCUAUAAUGCCUUGCAACUUAUAUAGUCGAGGCAUCCUGUUUU